Molecule: ribosomal RNA, 565 nt
Filed under: Shanorella spirotricha
Lineage: Eukaryota; Fungi; Ascomycota; Eurotiomycetes; Onygenales
Description: eukaryotic LSU rRNA
Rfam family: Eukaryotic large subunit ribosomal RNA
Source: RNAcentral
AAAGAACCCACCAGGGAUUGCCUCAGUAACGGCGAGUGAAGCGGCAAAAGCUCAAAUUUGAAAUCUGGCUCCCUUUGGGGGCCCGAGUUGUAAUUUGCAGAGGAUGCUUCGGGUGCGGCCGCGGCGUAAGUCCCUUGGAACAGGGCGUCAUAGAGGGUGAGAAUCCCGUCUUGAGCCGCUGGUCCCGCGCCCGUGUGAAGCUCCUUCGACGAGUCGAGUUGUUUGGGAAUGCAGCUCUAAGUGGGUGGUAAAUUUCAUCUAAAGCUAAAUACUGGUCGGAGACCGAUAGCGCACAAGUAGAGUGAUCGAAAGGUUAAAAGCACCUUGAAAAGGGAGUUAAACAGCACGUGAAAUUGUUGAAAGGGAAGCGCUUGCGGCCAGACUCGGGGGCGGGGGUUCAGAGAGCUCUCGUAGCUCGCGCACUCUCCCGUUUCCCGGGCCAGCAUCAGUUUCGGCGGUCGGUCAAAGGCUCCGGGAAUGUGUCGUCUCUAGGGACGUCUUAUAGCCCGGGGUGCAAUGCGGCCUGCUGGGACUGAGGAACGCGCUUCGGCUCGGAUGCUGGCAU